This 319-nucleotide ribosomal RNA is filed under the name uncultured eukaryote. RNAcentral's name for it is "partial 18S ribosomal RNA". It matches the Rfam family "Eukaryotic small subunit ribosomal RNA", at positions 1470 to 1796 of the family's 1831-position model. The record is from RNAcentral.
CCCUUAGAUGGUCUGGGCGGCACGCGCGCUACAAUGAUGCAUUCAAAAAGUCUUCUGACCUUAGAAGGUUGGGUAUUCUCCAAAGUGCAUCGUGAUGGGAAUAGUUUAUUGCAAUUUUUAAUCUUGAACGAGGAAUUCCUAGUAAGUACAGGUCAUCAACUUGUGUUGAUUACGUCCCUGCCCUUUGUACACACCGCCCGUCGCUCCUACUGAUUGAGUGUCUCGGUGAAUUCUUUGAUCUUCUGUCGAUUCAGUUCACUGAUCCGACGGUGGAAAGUUGAAUGAACUUCGUCACUUAGGGGAAGGAGAAGUCGUAACA